Benincasa hispida (wax gourd) is the source of this 1069-nucleotide long non-coding RNA. RefSeq lists it as uncharacterized. Lineage: Eukaryota; Viridiplantae; Streptophyta; Magnoliopsida; Cucurbitales; Cucurbitaceae. The record is from RefSeq and is a predicted model, not a curated record.
CUCAUUUUUCUUCUUCCUUUAGUCGCCGCCGUUCGUGUGUUUCGGCUAGCCAGAUCCCGCCGGUCAGACACGCCGCUAGUCGCCCAGCUCUCCAGACUACCGCCGCUCGAGCCCAAGCUGGUCUCCACACCGCUCGCUUUGUAAGCUUCUGCCUAGCCGACUCCUUCGCCGCACGUCCGUCACUCUCAGCCCGACCAGAUUCAAGCCGUCGACGUCCUCCUCCGCCCAAUCAUCUGAUCCGUGUGACCCACCGUCGAAUCCAAUUGACCGCCUCCCUCGCGCCGUGCGACGCCGCUCACCGUUCGUAGGGUGCAGUCGCGCCACCGUGAGUCACCUAGCCUCGUCAGCUGCCAAAUCUAAGUCGAAGCUCCCCCAGGCACACUACCCAGCCUUCAAUCGCCGCCCAGAUCGGAAGUCGGAUGUUUACUGCGCGUCGCGCUUCUGCAUAAACCCAGUUGCUCACGUCCGUUCCAUUUUCGUCCGAUUCUCCUCAGCCGCGUCUCCGACUGUCGAACCCCAAUGGUACCGCUCGCCAACCCGCGCUGGUCUCCGUGGGUUGUAGGUCGUCGCCCAAAGUCUCAAGUUCCACUGUCAUUCAUGCCCAGAUCCAAAGACCCACACCUAGAUGGCCACCACUAUGCCUCACAUUUGGGUCGCUCGUCGUCAAUCACGUAAGGGUGCUUCGGAUUCGUCGUUUCUCAUCAUUUUUGCUGCACAGUAAGGGUCGUCGGCACUUGUGGAUUUGGGGCUUUGAAGUUAAAAGUGUGCUGUCAAGAGGAUUUGGAUGUGGUUUUAACAAGCUUUUGGUUGUCAUAUAAAAGAUUGGAAUUGAAGGUUCAAAGCGGCUGUCCAUCGAGAGUAAAGGUUGGAUUUGUGACCAGAGUUGUUGGGUUGUUUUUAUUUUGUAGCAUGGGGUGAUGUUCAAAACAACACACUUUGGGCCUGAUUCAAGAUUCAUCUAAGCUAGAAGGAAGAUUAUUUUGCUUGUCGCUUAAACAUAAUUUUGAGUAGAGAUGCACCGGCGAUGGCGUAGCGGAAUUCAUGAUCGAGCCACUGUGACUAGUUUUUA